RNAcentral lists this ribosomal RNA (488 nucleotides) under uncultured bacterium. RNAcentral describes it as "partial 16S ribosomal RNA". It matches the Rfam family "Bacterial small subunit ribosomal RNA", at positions 28 to 507 of the family's 1533-position model. The record is from RNAcentral.
GACGAACGCUGGCGGCGUGCUUAACACAUGCAAGUCGAACGAAAAUACCAAGCUUGCUUGGUUGAUUAGUGGCGAACGGGUGAGUAACACGUGAGUAACCUGCCCCUUACUUUCCUGGAUAACUGCUCGAAAGGGUAGCUAAUACGGGAUAUUCUGACCAGCCUGCAUGGGUUGGUUUGGAUAGGUUGUUUUUCUGGUAAGGGAUGGGCUCGCGGCCUAUCAGCUUGUUGGUGGGGUGAUGGCCUACCAAGGCUUUGACGGGUAGCCGGCCUGAGAGGGUGGACGGUCACACUGGGACUGAGAUACGGCCCAGACUCCUACGGGAGGCAGCAGUGGGGAAUAUUGCACAAUGGGCGCAAGCCUGAUGCAGCGACGCCGCGUGAGGGAUGAAGGCCUUCGGGUUGUAAACCUCUUUCGUCAGGGAACAAGGCACUGCUUUUUUGGUGGUGUUGAGGGUACCUGGAUAAGAAGCGCCGGCUAACUACGUG